AACUCAUACACCAUGUACAAGGCUGAAAAUGAAAGACAACAUAAGAAAUAAAAUGCUUCAUGAUUGUCCCCUCGAAGUAUGAGGACUCACCAAUCCACUAAACUGGGAUAGAAAUCUGAACUAGCCACGAGCGAGAAGAGAAGUGUUGUACCCUAUAUUAUAAAAUAGUAUAGGCACAAGUAUGCAUUAGUACAUGGAAUGUAGUAAGUAUGGAGAAAUAUGUAUAAACAUAAACAUGGUCAUUUGGGAAAUUUAAACAUGAUAUGCAUGACCAAGCGAAAAAAUUGUUAAAGCCUUUGAGGGAAAUCAUAUAUCAUACAUUAAUCAAAGACAUAAUUAAAGCUUUUAAGGAAAAGUCAUAAUUAUUUUGUGGGAUAUUAGCUUUAACUAACAAUAGACUAUGUGAGCUAUAAAAUAGAAUCCGAUGUAACUCCCACACCGAGAAGGGAGAUUCUACUUGCCAAGGUAUAACUUUGUAUCAUAUCAUAAAGGUUGUGUCAAAUCCACUAGCUAGGUCAUUUAAGAUAAUCCUAUAGGGGCAUAUAGUUUGGAACUAUAGAUUGCUACUAGAGACUACCGUAUUUGAGCCUCUACCUCAAAGUUUUGUCGGUGCAAAAUUAAAUACCAACAAAAUAGAUAAAGUUAAUUAUCAAAGCAUAAAAUUUGAAAUGGAAAUAAUCACCAUACCAUUCAAAAUCUUAAAAAUGUAUAAGAGUAGCACUUUUAAAUCAUGAUUCAUACAUAUGUGAUAAGGAUUUUCACAACCAUGAUUUCAUAAUAUGUGAGAAAACAUUUAACAAUUCAUUGAUACUUAUCUCAAAAGCAUCCUUAGUUCAUAAAAUAUCAUUUUCAUCAAAUAUGCAUCACUUUCAUAAAUCAUCAUUCAUAAGUUCAUACGUUUUCUUAAUAAAUUCACAGUGAUGAUCAAUUAUAAUGCACGGGUCCAUAUGAAAUCAAUUGAAAAUCAUGUAAUUGAAUCAUAUCAUGCAUAAUAAGAUUGGAAAUCAAACAAUUGAAUCAGAACAAAGAGGAUCCAUGGAGAUUUCCAUGCAACCCUAAUCAAAUUGGGUAAGAAAUUGAAUUGGAGAAUGAGAUUCUUUGGGGACCAAUGGAUGAAUGAAAUCCAUUGGUGGAUUCCCACCUACCUUGAUAUCAAACCAUAGAAAAUCAAGAGAAAGAGAAGAACUUGAAGCUUGAAACCAUAGCUUUUCUUCCUUGAGCUUGAGAGUGAAUUGGAGAGAAGGAACUUGGAUGGGAAUUGAGAAUUUGAGAGAAUGAGAGGGUUUGGGUAGUUUUAGGAAUUGAAAGGUAGUUAUAAGACUUAGAAAUAUGGCCAAAACGAUUUAGUAUAGGUAUUAGUUUCAUUGCAAAAGAACCAAAUAACCUUAAGAAAUACCUGUCGAACAGGACCUACGAUUCGUAGGACUUUCUAGGGCUUGUACUAGUCAACCGUAGAACAAACUUCAGAAACCCAAAAAAUAAUCCAAAUUCCAUGAGACCCUUCUGCGAUCUGUCAUUCCUUCUAUGGUACGUAGAACCCAUGUUCAAGUACAAAAUUUCACUAAGUAUGGAUUACUGCUAUGGAUCCAACCUAUGACACAUAGAACUCAUCCUUUUCACUCAUAGGUCAAACAUAAGAGACUUAAAAUUUCAAAAACUCAACCUAAGCCCUACCAUUUUCCUUUUAUAGCUUGUAGAACUUCCUAUGGUCCGUAGAUAGGACUCGUAACUCACUACUUUAGUGACAAAACUGAACCUUUCUUUUCGAAUACGACUUUCCACACUAUAGGAAAAUUGUGAAUUACAUGGGGAUUUUCCUAGGGAUUAGUAUGAAAAUCCACAUGAAACUUAUUUUUCUAAAAAUUUUCAUACUACUCCCUAGGAAAAUCUCCAUGUAAUUCACCAUUUUCUUGUAGUACCAAUUUCUGAGGUGCUACAUCAAGCAAUAGAAUCUGUAAAUUAGCCAAUUGUUCCAUAGAUUUUACCAUUUCAAAUUUUCAGCCUCUACAUAACUCAAAUGGCUUAUAGACUUACGACUUAAAGAAUUUGCCACAACAUUUAAUUUACUUGGAUGGUAUAGAAUGCUCACAUCAUAAUAUUUUAGUAAUUCUAACCACCUUCUCUACCUUAAAUUCAACUCUUUUAACUAAACAAGUAAUUGAGACUCUUAUGAUCCAUGAAGAUAUAAAUGUGUACCACAUAAAAGUAGUGCAUCAUAUCCUCAAUGCAAACACUACAAUUGCAAAUUCUUAGAUCAUGGGUAGGUGAUUCUAGUCGUGCUUCCUCAACUGUGUAGAAGCAUAGGCAAUAACCUUGUCAUGAUGCAUCUAAACACAACCCAACCCAACUUUGGAAGCAUCAGAAUAAACAACAUAACCCUAUAUACCCUUAGGAAGGGUCAAGACAGGUGUUGAAGUUAAUUUAUCCUUUAAUUUGUAGAAACCUUUCUUACAGGCCUCUAACAACUAAAACUUAACUGCUUUAUGAGUCAACUUCGUCAACAAUACGGAGAUAAUAGAGAAACAUUCCACAAAUAUGUGAUAAUAUCCCGGUAAACAUAAAAAUUUACCAACCCUUAUAGGAUUCAUAGGUAUGGGCCAACUCUUUAUAGCUCCUAUUUUCUAGCUAUAAGCCCUUAUACCUUCAUCUAUAAUUAGAUGACCACGAAAAUCUAUAGAUGUUAACCAAAUUCACUUUUAAAAAACAUAGUGUACACCCUUUGCUCUUGGAGAGUCUGUAGCACAACUCUUAGGUCAUGCUCGGCCUCUUAUUGCAAAUAAAUCAAGAUGUAGUGAAUGAAGAUGAUCACAAACACAUAAAGAAAGGGCUUAAAUUACAUGUUAAUCAUAUCCAUAAAGGUUUUUGGUGCAUCGGUAAGUCCAAAUGAGAUCACCAGAAACUCAUAAUCUCCAUAUCGGGUUGUGAAAGUAGUUUUAUGGACAUCUACUUGUCUAACUCGUAACUGGCGGUGUCCUGACGUCAAAUCAAUUUUGGAAAAACAUCUAGCUCCCUACAACUGGUCAAAUAAAUCAUAAAUCGUGAGGAGCGGAUACUUAUUCAUAAUCGUUACUUUGUUCAGAUUUCUAUAGUUAAUACAAAUUCAUAAAGAUUUAUAUUUUUUUCAUACAAACAUGACUAGUUCAACCCUCUGUUUUAUUUUAGGCCAUAUGAAACAUUUCUCGAGCAAAUCUUUCCAUUUCUCCUUCAACUUUCUCAACUUUGCUAGAGCCAUUUUAUAAGGAGGUAUUGAGGCAGAGUACUUUGGAGUAGAUCAAUGACAAAAUAUAUUUCCCUUUCAGGAAGGACUCCAUGUACACCAUGUGGGAAAACUCCUGGAAACCACUUAAAACAAAAAUAAAUUUAAGAAUUGCAUGUUCGCUUUCUAGGUAUCUAACCUGAACAAAAUGAAAUAUAGCCUUUAGAUAUCAACUUAUGGACUCUAAGGUAUGAAAUAAACUUACCUUAAGGCAUAGCAACAUUACACUUCCAUUAUAAGACCAACUCAUCUGGAAAUUGAAAUCAACAUUACUAUAACAUGCUACUAUCCAUUUCAUGCCCAAAAUAACAUAAAAAUCAACCAUAUCAAGUGAUGAGUCCACAGUUUGGACUCAUUUAGGGCUCCAUUUUAAUAGAGUUAGUGUCCUCAAAUGCAUAUUUUGUCUCAAUAACUGAUGUAAAUCCUUAAGUUUCAGGUAUUUGAGUUUGAGGCAAGGCUUGGACACUACUUGGCAAAAAGGAACAAAACGGCUAAAAAAAUGGAGAAAAGAAGGCCUGAGGAUCCCUAAUGCAAUCGGUAAGUCACCGAAUGGCCUUAACCUCGCUCAAAGUUCCAUUGUGCUGAGCCCUGAAGGGAAAUAUCAAGUUGGCGAUGAAAAGGAGCAGUCAGUGUGUCGUUGAACAGUUCCGUGAAGCAGUACUAUAUCGCCCAAUGAUCUAGAACACGAAGAUGCUGAAGGCAAAAGCUGAAAGGCGAUGAAGCAGACCAAAGGGCAGAUCGCCGAAUGCAUCGGCGAUUCCAACUAACUGCGCCGAGUGAACCUUCGCAGCACAUUUUUUGACAACUAUAAAUAUUAGUUUAAAUUUGUAUCUUAGUAUGCAAUUUCAGAUACAACAAUUUUAUUUUCUAAGUUUACAAGUAGAGAACAUAUUUGCUUAGCUUUUAAAGAUUUGAAGACUUCCAAUUCCAAGAAAUUUGAAGUGGGUGUUGAAGAUUCUUCAUCUUAGACUUGUUUAAAGUGAAUAUAAAUCAUACCGAGUUGAUGUUACUUUGAUUUGGUAUCAUUUUCUUCCUUUUUCUAUGUCUAGCUAAAACCCAAUUCUUGGGGUGUGAUUUUGUGAAUAUGGGUUAAAUUUCCUGUUGGGUAUUGCUUAUUGUUAGUCUAUUUGCUGUUUAAAUGUGAUUUCGUUUAGUAGUUGUGUUUGAACUUAAUGGGAUUGUAGUUGCAAAUACGAUUUCAUCUUAGUGUUUUUGGCUGGCUCGAGAGACAGGUUUUAAAACUAAGACUACUUAAUCGAUAGCCGGUGGUUAUUGGGUCGUCGUGGGUUCAGCUCGAGAGAGUGAAUCCUAGGGUUUUUCACACACAUUCAGCUCGAGAGAGUGAAUGGGCUAAGGCGGAGGUUGUGCUUAAAAGUGGCAACUCGGUGUUCGAGAGAAACUGAGUUGAUUCAGGGUAAGUUGCUCAAGAGAGAAUUUACCCCCACUAAAGUCUAGCCUAGUUACAAAUGUUCAGCAAUUGACUAUCAAUAGCAUUUACCCGAUUGUGUAGUUUAUCCCAUAUUCCUAUCACAUCCCAAGAAUCUCGUCUCCUAUAUUCGCAUCUUUUUGUUUUCACUGUUUUUGUUCAUUAAUUGAAUACAAACUCCCCCAUUGAUAAUUGACAUUUAUGCCAACCCCUUAAUUUAUCAUGAUUUUACUCGAUAAAGUUUUAGCUAUGGUUAACUCUAGCAUACUUGCACUUAACUCUUAAUUCUUAGAAACUGCUCCCUUGGGACUCGACCCCAACCCAUUUGGUUGGGUUAUAUUACUAUUGUACUAUCGUAGACACUUGAAUCGGAAGUUGUGUCUUGAUUACACAAACAUCAUCAAGCUCUUUUAGAUCAACUCGGGUAAAUCUACUACAUACCAACACUACACUGUUUCAAUAAACCCUGCUACCUAAUAUAGACUCACAAAUAAGAGUAGAAAUGAUAGAUGGUUAAAAUAAUAAUUCAAGAAAUAUUUCGAAUUGACUUGCAACCAAUAGAGUAACAUAAAAGAGGGUAGAAGCAGGAUCCCCGUACUCUUUUUUCCUAUUUUCUUUAUUAUUUCAUGUCGAGCUUUAGAAAGACACUGGGAGGGAGAAUGAACGAUCGACUGCUAAAGAUCUUGAAUAAAGCAUUGAUAGCUUUGCAGAGGAGAAAAACUUUGAUUCUUCUUGAAUGUGUUCCUUGCAUGUUGAAGUGAACAGGGGCGGUACCAACUACGACUAGAAAGCGGCCACUCCUGUCAAUGAAUACCAUUCAUGAUUGUCUAUGUUAGUAACAUAGCCAUAACAACUUUGUUUUACUGCUUGAGGUGGUGAUAACUUUUAUAUAUUUGCUUUAUUAUAAGCUUGCAUAGUGCUCUAUCAAGAAAAAAAUAUAGUAUUUAAGAAUAAUUAAUCAAUGUACCUAUGACAAUGUCAAAUGAUACCUCCUAGUCCUGGUGACCACCCAUUGCAUAAAACAAAAUUUACGUCCCUUCAACCAGAUGACUCUCCCCCUCUACACCUUCCACUUCCUGAAGUGGAUUGAGGACCGAGUCUUGGAGGGAAACUUGAUGAAGCUAAUGAUGAUUCUGUUUGUUAAAUCAUACAACCUCUCUCUCUCUCUAUAAUAAGAUAGUACCGCCUAAUAUGCCCUAAAUUACCACACAUAUAAAAUAGUUUUAUCCCCUGAUGACAUGGUCCAGGAUGUGCCCUUCUCAACUAAGCACAAUGCAGCAAUGGUGGUCUUCCCUACUCUGAAUGCUCAAGUCGUUGCAGAGAGACUGAACUCUAAUCUCUCAUAUAAACCUGUAACACGGAUGAAUUACUCUCUACAGGUCUAGACAAUUGCCUGGAUGAAAAAGCCUCGUGGUCCCCUUGAGGUUCACUUAGAAAACAACAGUCUUAGCUCUCUUCCUCUGUUUCUACUCUCUACGAGUAUCUCGUAGCUGAUGAAACAAAUCCUUCUCCCUUUGGGCAAGAGCCUGCUUUUGUGCAAUAUUUGUAUCAGUCUCAGUAGACAUUCCUAAGCAUUUAUGAGCCACAUAAGACCCUAAACAUAAAAAAAAAAAUAGAUACACUCUAUCCUUCUUCGUCUGCACCAUGUGGGAAUCAUAUAUGGCCAAGGAAUUAAAUCUGAGGCUAUACUCACGCAUACCCAUAUUACCCUAUUGCAUAUGUAAGAACUACUCAACUUGAGCCUGUCGAAGGUCUUCUUGUAGGUACUGCUCUAUAGAGACCUAGGAGAACUCUUUCCACCAGCUGGAGGUGCAUUAGUUUCGUUAGUUUUUUCCCAUGCCUCAUAAAAUAAUAUAGCUACAUCACAUAGCGUGAAUGAUCCUAGCUCUACUCCCUCCAUAACUAUAACCCGCAUCACCUUCAAUAUUCUACAAUUCUUAUCAAUAACAUCCUGAGGAUCUUCUUUGGAUAAGAUCUACAGAAAAGUAAAGGAAUCAAGUUCAGAAACUCACAAGCCCGCACAACUUCUAGGCUUUAUGCUACUUCAAACUUUCAUGCUGUCCAACAUCUUUACAAGCCAUAAACUUAAUUGCUCCCUCAGUGCCCAGUCCUUUUAGAGAUUCUGGAGGUUUGAUAGGUGUUGGAGGUACAAAAACUUUGUCACCCUCGUGUAUCACUAGGAAUGGUGAUGUUGGAUGUUUUUCUAAUGUAGCUCUACCUGGAGAAAGAGGGGCUGUAAUAUCUGGAGCAGGACACUCGCUUUGAACCUCUAAUCUAUAUCUUUGUUCAUUAGGUGGGCGUAUAUUACCAUCUCCUGAAGUUAUACAUUGUGUAGAUAUCUACCUCAUCGUCAACAUAUUCUGAAAUAAUUACAUGAAUAGGAUAUCAUAUAACCUGAUGACUUCGCUCUAUAGCACGAAUUGUCCAUGAAAAUGUGAAACAACACCAAAGUUUCCUAUAUCCUCAUGAUUGUAACUAUGGUGCACCACAUACCCAUAAGAAAGACUCUACUAUACAUGGCUUUGUGGACUCCUUAGUACACGACCUCGCUAUGAUACAAGGUUUGUCACGCCCUAAAACUAAGGUAGGGUGCGACUGGCCUCGAUAUUGACUGAAUUGAGAAGCUGUCUAUAUAACAUAUGAAAUUGUAAUACACAGGCAACCAGACCACCUAUCACAACCUCCUAGACCGACAAGGUCACAACUAAAUAAAAUUUGAUAAAAAUAAGGUUAACUAAGCCAUAAUGUAACUGAGCUGAACAAUGGAAUGCCGACAAGACCAUAAAACCAAACUGAACAAAACUAUACAUUAGCGUCCACAAAACCCUCUAAAGAGUAACAAACUUAGUUUUCAGAACAGAUAAUGGCUCCUGAAAAACAGAAGCAUACAAACUCUCAGCUGAAGUUAGACUCCUAUUGCAACUAACGAUAAAAGCAUGUAUCUGCACCUGCAUCAUGAAUGUGGCGUAUACAAGCGUAGGGACAUCAGUAAAAAUACCAUGUACUGGUAUGUAAGGCUAAAAGCGGUAAAACGGAGUAUAUCAAAGAUACUAAACUACAGUUAGGGAUAGAAAAAACCUGAGAUUCCGGAAGCUGAGAUUUGAUAAUGACUUAACAUUUAUCUUCUAAUGCAUCAAAUUAAGCACAUAUACCAAUCAUACCUCCCCAAUGGUGAACUAUAUGAUAAUCAUGUCAUAGUAGCGACCCUACUUAGCCGAGAUGGCCAUCUUGGUGGUGUAAUGACGGAGUAAGAAUCAGCCCACCAGACAUGUUUGUCGUGGUAUUAUGGUGACAAAGUAAGAAUAUACCCACCAGACAUGCAUGCAGUGGUGUUGUGGUGAUUCAGUAAACAUCUAUCCACUAGACAUGCCUGGUGGUGUGGUAAACUAUAGUACUAUAGCUUCCUACCGACAUUACCCCAUUGGUAGUGUAACAUGAAGUCAUAACCACUAUCAUCUACCAAGCCAAACAUGCUCAUAUCGAGUGUAUCUAAUAAUUAUACCACAUAUGCAAUCUAACUCUAAGAAUGCAACCUAAAUAGGCCACUUCAAGACUCGUGAAUUGUAACUAUGUACAUGUAACAUAUAAAGCUUUCAAAUAGCAUAUAAAUAUGCCUACUCUAUACUUAAACAAUAGCUAGAAGGUUUAGAUGUCAUAAGGAAUCCAAUAGGCUUAUGAAUGAUGUACCAAAUCUAUUUACAAUGCCUUCACGUAUAGCUUGAACAAGAGAUCAUAUAUUUUUAUUUUUAUUUGAUCAACUCUUUUACGAUCUGUAUAUAUACAUAUAUUCUAUCCGUAAGGUGCUUCUUUUACCCGUGUCAAAAAUUAUGUUAUUUUACUCUGUUUAUAAACUUAUUGUGUCGAUGAUCACCAAUAGUUCUUAAUGUUUUUCAUGAAACUCACAUACACAACUACUUUUAAAUGAAAACACAUAUAGGACCAGCUCACAGUGCUCACGAUAAGGGGUCUCCAAACACAAUUUACAACUACGAAAACAAUUGUAUAUAAAUCGCCAUUUUUGUCAUAUUCAUAUAUUUUAAUAUUAUAAAAAUUAUAGAAAAUCACCAUGUUUUUCCAACCUUUUAACCGAACCAUACAAUACCUUAAUAGGAGUUGAAAACAUAGGAAUACUAGUCCAAUCAACGAUGUAUAUUGGUUCUUGAAAAUAGAGGAAAGGGGUAUCUAACCUUUAUUUGAGUCCUUUAACAUAAUACAAUGUCUGGAUUAUCUCUUGCUCCUUCAAUAUAAAACAACAACCAAUGAAAAUUCAACUUUAAAUAGUUAUACAACACAUCCAAGUCAUUUAGUCUAUUCAACAAACACAUGAUGGGCGUAAAUUCAAGAGAAAUUUAAAUCAAUAGGUGUUCGUAGUAUUAAUCCAUUCAUAUUACCAACAACAAUACACUACACUUAAAUGACUCUAAUACAUUAACCUCCAUCCACAAGACCAGUGCACACAUCCCUCACCAAAAACAUCAAUUAACAUGAGGGGAAUUUUUUUUCACGACUCCCUAUUACCAUCCUAUGAGUUGUACCCAUAUUUUAUAUAGCUAAAACAUGAAGAACAUCACAUACAUGAGAGAAGGGAACAUGUACAUACCUUGCUUGAAGCAGAUGUUGUCCCUUAAGAUUGUAUUUAACCAAGAAGAAAGGUUGUCUCUUCACUCCAAAGACAGACUUAAGUGAAUAAUAUGCUUGGUUGAGGAACAAUACUUGAUUCUUGGUUGAUUUCUCAAUUAGGGCUUUUGGAGAGGAGAGGGCUUCAAGAACCAAAAACGAGGAGCUUCAUAAAUAACUUAGGAAAUGUCUCUAAUGAAUUCACCUCAUACAUAUCAUUUUUAAAAUAUUUGUAAUGACAUAACAUGUGCUACUCACGUUCCCAACACAACCAAUUUAGGUUUCUGCGUAGUUCGUAGUAAAAUAAGCAUAUCCAUUUUCUCUGAAGUCUUAUUGAUGAGUGAUUUAUUUCAUUAAACUACACUCACAUGUAUUUAAUUUUAUAUAUUAUAUAACCUAUAAAUCCUCAUAUGCUAGGAGAUAUGAUUAUCUCAAUUUAGACCACAUAUGAGAUUAUAUGAAAUAAUCUGUCGUAAUGUAACCUUCUAACUUGUAACCUUGUUAUGACACUUAUGUUGAUGCACAAUGAGUAACAACCAAUAUGAUCAUCCCUUUAGAACCUUAUUCUCCUGGCAACUCAUCAACAAACAACGUAAGAUGAAAAAUAUAGUUUUGGACGCGUAUAUCUUUAGCUUACUGAGUUAGUUACCUUAAAAUAUACGGGGCGUUACAAUUUGGCUUGCCUACCUUUGUUUAUAUGACAUAUUGUUACUCAGGUCAUGACCUUAACGGUCAGCUUAGUAUUUCAAAUGUUGUGUUACCUGACCUUUUGGGCCCUUAGUUUAAUUAGCUAGUAUAUUUUAGUGACUAACUUGACUGAAUACGGUUUUGUGUUCCGCUCACGCCUCCCCUAGUUUUGAGGGUGAAAUAAACAAUACUGAAAUGUAGAUUGAUCAUUCAUACAUUGCACCCCUCUUAAGAAUAGGAAAAUUAGUUAUUCAUGACAUAAAUUAAAAAAGUAAUACCAACAUUAUCAGCUAUAAUAGUUAUUGAGUUGAAUCCCUACAUAAAUGAAUCUUCAAAAGCCUUCAAUCACAAGAAGGUUCCCAGAUCUCUAACUACAAGAUUCUUCCUAAUUGUAAGGGUUUUGUAGAGAAUGUACUAUGAAUUUUAAAGAAUGUAAAGAAAGUGUUCUCUCAUUUUAAAAUCUAUUUAUAUUUUUGAGAAAAUAUUCACAAAAAUGCUCUUCGAGACAAUUUAAUGAUCUUAAUUGAACUCACAUAAUUGUUUGGCAAUACACCAAUUUGUCACUCACCUCGCUGAAUCGGUUUGUGCAAUUGAUUUCUUUUUUCAGGCAACUGUGAAUUUGGAAGAUACUCUAGACCUUUGCUGAGUCAAUUCGGUAAUAUUAUGAAUGUCCUUUUUGUGUCGCCAACUUGAUGAGCAUUUAAAAGGUAGCGGCUGCUAUUUUAGGAGAGCUGAAAGUCAGUUUACUAUGCUUCAAACUUGAUGCGCAAUGCUCAGUGCAAACUUGACUACCUUUUUCUUCUUUUGCUUUCUUCCUCUUCUUUUCAACUCCAAGGUAUCCUUAGAACUUUCAUAGUUGAAAUAUUAUUAAAUUAUGAUCAAAAGGGGUAUAAAUAAGCAUUGAGGACAUUACUUUUUUAUGAGAAAAAAAGCCUGAAAUGAGUCCUAAAUCUCCAACUCAUCAUUAUUUUCUUAAAAAAUAUUUGAUAAUACAAAAUUUAGUCAAGUUAUAUAUAACAUCCUCCAAAAAAAAAUAUUUGCAUUGUUUAAGAAAUUAAACAUUUCUAAGAAUUAUAAUGCUUUCUUUCCAAAAAAAUUUUGUUAACACUUCGAAAUUUUGUUGUAAUAUACCAGAAUAUCUUGAUAAUAUUUUAUUUGAAAAAUAUUAAUUAAAUAAAUAAAUACAAGUUAAUUUGAAUGUUAAAUGCACUCUUGGCAUUAUCAAAAUUAAAAUAUAAAUCAAAUUAGAAAGUAAAUACAAAGAAUUUAAUUUCCAUGAAGACAAACAACUGGAUACAAAUCAAGAGUGCAAAAGAUUAAUAUCUACAGUAUUUUUAUUUUAUUUUUUAAAAAGUUAUAUAAAGUAUACAUAUAUCUGUGUAUUUCUUAUUUUUAAAUAUGUAUCUAUAUAGUCCAUAUUAAAUAUAGUGAUGAAUUGUUUAUGGAUAAUUUAUUAGUAAAUAGUAGAGUGAAAAAUUUUACCAAAACAAAUGUCUGAUCUAUAAACAAACUCAAAAAUGGAUAGGUCAACAAAAAAUCUAAGUUCUCAUAUUUUUAUAUAUCAUUUUAUAAGGUAGAAAAACAAAGAAGUUCAAUUUUAUGAAAUUAAGACAUAAAAUAUUAUGAUUAUUAUUUUUUUAAUUUCACUACCUUCAAUUUAUCCAAGCUCAUCCAAUAAAAAAGAUUUAAAUUUUCUGGACAUGUCCACUUCAAUUUAUCCUCAAUAAAUGAUAUAGAGAUAAAAUAGACAUGCUAGAUAUGGUGGGCGAGUCCCAAGAAUUCUUUAUGAUUUGAAAAAUAAAGUUGCGUUUAGAUUUAACAAGUAGAAGGAAAAAAUUGCAAGAAAGUUUUGUCAGGAGAAAGAAAAAGAAGAAGAAAAAGUUUAAAAUGGGUGAGAAAAAGUAAGGAUAUAGAAAGAAAAUGAUACCUCUUAAAACAUAGCUUGCACCAUCGAAUUAACCUCCACUCCUCCUCCAACCACUAUAAUCCAGCCAGGUCAAGUGGAACCUCCUCUGAAAGAUACUUUCAAACUCAAUAUUGACGGAUCCUUCGACUCCUUAAACCGCAUAGGAGGCAUCGGAGGGGCAAUUCGGGACGACCUGGGAAACUCGAAAGUUGAUUUCCACUACAAAUUGAUGGGAAUUACCUCUACCCAUAUGGAAAUUCUUUCCUUACUUAAAGGAGCAGAGUUGGCCGACUAAUUUCACCUCAAGCCUUUGGAGAUAUAGACCAAUUCCAGUGAUAUAAUACGAAUUCUAACCGAAGAUACUAAUCUAAUCUAUAAACCUCCUGUUUCCUUAUGCAGGUAUUGGCUGGAAAAACUAGGGAAUCUGACAAUCCAACAUAAUUUUAGGGAGAGCAACAAAUUAGCACACAUACUAGCAACUUAUACGAGGAAAAAUGGUAUUAAAGAAUGUAUAAUCCUCCUAACACCACCCUUAUGGACGCUGCAACUACUAGAAGAUCAGCAUGUAUACACUAUCACUUAAAAAAUGUCAGCCAGAACUUUUAAUAAUCUAGUAAAAUAUGGGUAUACUAAUAUCUCUGAUGUAGUAUUAUCAUAUGUAACUUUUCCUCA
This 12564-nucleotide long non-coding RNA is filed under the name Solanum tuberosum (potato). RNAcentral describes it as "long non-coding RNA (STUB_LNC007297)". The record is from RNAcentral. Lineage: Eukaryota; Viridiplantae; Streptophyta; Magnoliopsida; Solanales; Solanaceae.